UUAAAGUUUGAUUCUUUCUUUUGAAUUUGGAAUUUGAAUUAUUUUAUAUGUAAGUUUUUACUUUUUUAUCUAAAUGGUUUUUUUUCAGUAUAUAGUUUUGGUUUUUAUUUUAUGAUAAAAUCAGGAUUUUAAUUUAUAACUGACAAAUUCUGUGCCAGCCGUCGCGGUUACACAGUUAGUUAAAUUAAAUUUUUUCGUUUUAGUAUUAAUUUUUUUUUAUUUAAUUUUAAUUUUAAUUUUUGGGUGAAAUUUUAAUUAAUUAUUUGUUUAUUGGUCAAUGAUUAUACGAAAAUUAUUAAUAAACUAGGAUUAGAUACCCUAUUAUAAUAAUUGUAAAUCUUUUUUAAUAUUAAUAGUUUUGUUCUUUAAAUUAAAAGAAUUUGGCGGUUAUUUAAUCUUUCUAGAGGAACCUGUUCUGUAAUUGAUAAUCCACGAUUGAUUUUACUUCAAUUUUGCUUAUAUAUCGCUGUCAUUGAAUGUUUUAUAAGAUUAUUUUCUUUUAUUUUUAUGAAUAAAAUGUUAGGUCAAGAUGUAGCUGUAUUGAAGAAGAGAUGGGUUACAUUUAAUUUAUUAUUGGAUAAGAAUUUGUAAUUUUUCUUUGAAAUUGGAUUUAGGUGUAAUUUUUAUUAAAUAUUAAUUUUGAUUUUAGUUCUAAAUAAUGUACACAUCGCCCGUCACUCCCAUUUUAAGUUGGGAUAAGUCGUAACAAAGUAGGCCUACCGGAAGGUGGGCCUGGUCAGUU
Molecule: non-coding RNA, 742 nt
Filed under: Limnogonus hypoleucus
Lineage: Eukaryota; Metazoa; Arthropoda; Insecta; Hemiptera; Gerridae
Source: RNAcentral